Molecule: long non-coding RNA, 828 nt
Organism: Macadamia integrifolia
Lineage: Eukaryota; Viridiplantae; Streptophyta; Magnoliopsida; Proteales; Proteaceae
Exons: 2
Source: RefSeq, a predicted model, not a curated record
CUCUCUCUCUCACCCCUCUUGUUGCAUCUCUCAGGAAGCUCUCUAAUCUUGCGAUUCUCUCUCUCACCCCUAGCGUUUUGCUCUGCUCACGAAGGUUGCGGCCUGCACCGCGAAGGGUCUCUCUCUACGGCUGGAAGGUUUCUCUGCUCAAAAGGUAUGUUUGAGAGCUGAAGGUCGUGGGUCGCUGGUUGCAUCUCUCUCGCGAAAUUCGUGGGUUGCAUCUCUCUCACGAAGUUUGUGGGUUGCUCUGUUCACGAAGGUCUCAGUGCUCACGAGGAAUGUUUCAAAGCUAAACCUUUAUUUGACCUGCGAAUGCUAGUAUGCUGUUAGGUGUCUGAUUCUCAGAUUCACCGGACCUCCAUCACAACAGACCCAAGAGCGAAGAUUGAGGAUCCUUUUCAGAACCCAAUCGGUGGAGAAGGGUAAAAAACGAAAGAGAGAAAAGAAGAAAGGAGAAGAAAAGGUGGAAGGAAAAGAGUUAGACGCAGAGACUUGUGAGUUUUGUUAUCUGGUGACUUUAGCACAAUUAAACUUCACACAGAAGACACGUUAUGAAAAAUGAGCACGGGGAUGACAAAUUCAGAUAUUGCACGAGGAGAAGAAAUCAAACUCCAGGCUAAUGAAGCAUUUAUAGGUAAAUUAUUGUUUUAUGCUUGUACCUACGCAUUUCUUGGGUGAAAUUAUAUUUGUGAAUCUGGAGUGCCGAUACUUGAAGCUUGCUUAACUGGACAAAGUGUUCAUCUCUGGCAAUUUUACUCGAAUUCAGUAUCACGAUCCACCGAUAGUGGUACUAAGUCCUGUGCUGAAUCAUUGCUUUCAUUUCUCCCA